UUGAAUAAAUUUGAACAGGUUGUUGCUGGCCCCUUCUUGUGGGUAUGUGCACACUUGUCAUCUUUACCUUCUCCAACUGUGCACAUAUUUGUAGGCUCUGGAAGUUUUAUUUGAGAUUCAAAUAGAUUUAGGAUAUAGUUUCAACUUUUCCUUGUACUUCCAGGUCUAUGUUACUUUAUAAACCAUGAGAUGUGUUAUAGAAUGAUUAAAAAGUUGAAAUAUAUA
RNAcentral lists this unclassified non-coding RNA (225 nucleotides) under uncultured Inocybe. RNAcentral describes it as "sequence contains ITS1". The record is from RNAcentral. Lineage: Eukaryota; Fungi; Basidiomycota; Agaricomycetes; Agaricales; Cortinariaceae.